GAUCCAUUGAUUUGCUAAGAAGCUCUUUAUAGCUGAUCAAUUUGUUACGGUAGAAGUGGUGAGCUAGACAGCCAAUAAGCAGUAAACACAAUAUAUAAGGAAUGAAACCAUAGCGUGAAAUAUGAGGUUUACCGGAUCAAUACCGGGGCUUAUACUAGUUGGUGAUUGAUUCGGUAUGAUAUGAGUCCCUAUCGUACCAUGCCAGGGAAUCCCGAAAUGGGGAGAGGGAGAGGGAGCAUGGGAGAGGGAUAAGGAGAGGAGCAGGAGAGAGAGGAGGGAGGGAGAGAGAAAGGGACUUACAGGGAAGGG
RNAcentral lists this long non-coding RNA (309 nucleotides) under Elaeis guineensis (African oil palm). RNAcentral describes it as "long non-coding RNA (EGUI_LNC061662)". The record is from RNAcentral. Lineage: Eukaryota; Viridiplantae; Streptophyta; Magnoliopsida; Arecales; Arecaceae.